RNAcentral lists this ribosomal RNA (533 nucleotides) under uncultured bacterium. Its description in RNAcentral is "bacterial SSU rRNA". It matches the Rfam family "Bacterial small subunit ribosomal RNA", at positions 777 to 1304 of the family's 1533-position model. The record is from RNAcentral.
AAUAGAUACCCAGGUAGUCCACGCCGUAAACGAUGAGUGCUAAGUGUUAGGGGGUUUCCGCCCCUUAGUGCUGCAGCUAACGCAUUAAGCACUCCGCCUGGGGAGUACGGCCGCAAGGCUGAAACUCAAAGGAAUUGACGGGGGCCCGCACAAGCGGUGGAGCAUGUGGUUUAAUUCGAAGCAACGCGAAGAACCUUACCAGGUCUUGACAUCUCCUGACCGCCCUGGAGACAGGGUCUUCCCUUCGGGGACAGGAUGACAGGUGGUGCAUGGUUGUCGUCAGCUCGUGUCGUGAGAUGUUGGGUUAAGUCCCGCAACGAGCGCAACCCUUGUCCUUAGUUGCCAGCAUUCAGUUGGGCACUCUAAGGAGACUGCCGGCUAAAAGUCGGAGGAAGGUGGGGAUGACGUCGAAAUCAUCAUGCCCCUUAUGACCUGGGCUACACACGUGCUACAAUGGGCGGUACAGAGGGUCGCGAACCCGGCGAGGGGGGAGCCAAGUCCCAAAAAAGGCCGCUCUCAGUUCGGAUUGGAGG